Molecule: long non-coding RNA, 5028 nt
Filed under: Podarcis lilfordi (Lilford's wall lizard)
Lineage: Eukaryota; Metazoa; Chordata; Lepidosauria; Squamata; Lacertidae
Source: RNAcentral
ACCCCUGGAAGUGAGGUUUCCUUCCUCCUUUCUAAUGUCUUUCCCACUCAUUCAGGCUGUUAUUUUCUUAAUCUCUGUGUCAAUGCCAGUUUGGAUCAGUGAAAUCUUGAGUCAUUAGCAUUCCUCCUCUCAAAGAAUGACUCAGGCUAAAUAAACUGGCAACAGUACAUGUCAGGGCCCUCUUCGCCUCUUGGUUCCGGCCCUGCAUUGUUCGUCCAGGAAUGAAAUUCCAACCCACAGCAUUCCUUAAAAGCAAACUUUAAAUUUGGUGUCUGUUAGGUAUUUCAACAAAUUGUUUGGUAGUGUAAUAGGUCAAUGCUGGAAUGGAACCCAGUACAGACUUGCAGUGCAUGUCAGAGUGACAUAAUUGCAUAAUGAACAUGAUCAGAUACAAAAGGAUUGGAAAGGUAAAACCUGAGGGGGAAGGCAUCAUGUUAUUUAAAACUGCUUUUUGGUUUCUUUCUUCCAUCAAUCGCCAUCAACCUUUCCUUUGGAAAGGUUUUUACAGUAUCUGGUGAAAUAAAAUAAUACAUGGAACUUGAAUAUCUGCACAGAGGUUGGUUAUUGGCAAACCUCCCACCCCAAGGAAAUGUCAUCCAGCUUCUCCAGAUACCAAGGCCCUUUCUCUGUCACCUUUAUGUAGCUUGAAAUACUUUGAGGUGUGGGGUGGGGAGAGCCAUUGAGAAGUAGGCAAGGGAAGAAACCUUCCUGUUGUUGAUGCAAUCCAAAGAGAUUGUGCUCCAGUCUUUUCCUUUAUUUACCCCUUAUUCUAGAUGGGAAGAGAUGAGGAACCUGUGUUUGUCAACAGCCCAUCAGGGGAAGCGAUUAGCUCUUUCGCCCGCCAGCUUUGAAAAUGGACCAUAGUAGAACUAACUAGCUGUCGAGUAGCAUUCUUAAAAAAUACCAGGUAUAUUCAGAACAAAAUAAUGGUCCAACUCCCAUCUUGUAUUUGUUGGUGCUACUGCUAGCAGGUCCGCGAGAGAGGAGGUGUAGAACAGAACAAAGCAUAAACCAGAUGGGAUCUGGCUGGCAUGGCAAGAGUCUACUUCUGACAGAGCUGUAUAUAUGGCUUCAGCCCUAUAAAUACCAUUUUUCUACUCUAUGUUCCUAUGUUUACUAAUCCCACCUGUAUGCCAUGUUCAGGUUGAAAGAUCAUGUACACACAGUUGUUUUUGGUGGCUACUGCAGUGCAAAAUCAUUUAAGCUGGAAGUUUGCAAAAGCUCAAAGAUCCACUGGUACUGCCAUUUGGUGGUUAAGUUUAAGUAGUCGGGUAUUAUUUUAAGUUACUAUAUUGCACUUCUUUGUAGUUUAAUUGUUAUUGCUAAUAUUAUAUCACUUGCAUUAGACUUUUGGGACGGGGAAGACAGAAGUUAAAACCGGUGCAUAAUUAAAUACAGUUUUGUGACUUUCUGAAUUUGAGGCUUGAAAAUCCAUAUGAGAUUACAGUCUGACAUCCCAAAUAGAUUUUGUGAAACCCCAAUAGACACAGUGAUCUCAUUAGUGAUGGUAAUACUCGUUCGUACGAAAGGAAGUUAAUACAAAAUGAAAUAAAUGGUUCUUCAAUUCAUCUAUCAGGUCCUGUCAAUUAUUGACGCCCACUGCAUGCCAGCUGUCAGAUACUAUCAAAUGUUGAUUGCUACAUGUCUGAUACUGUCAAAUGUUGUUGUUUACUGCAUGUUGGCUGUCAGAUACUGUCGAAUCUUGAUUACUAAUGUACGUCAGCUGUCAAAGGUUAUCAAAUACUGACUUCUACAUGCCAGAGACUGUCCAGUACUGAAUCCUUUUACAUCCCAGCUAUCAAAUGCUGGCUGUUUUCUUCUAGAAAGUAUACUGUACUAAAAGCCACUGCAUUCUGCCUGUCAGGGCAAUGUCAAUUACCGACUGCCACUGCAUCUUCUGAUGUCAAAUGCUUGACAAAAAACAUUCAAUGAAUACUCAAAUCUCAAAUAUUCACACUUCAGGAGCAUGUUCUUUGGCACAGUUUUGUGGAGCAGAUUGUUUCAGCUAUAGCCCCAUGUUGUACAGGGAGCCUGAAAAGGCGAACCUGCAAACUUUAAGACAAAAACUCCUCCUAUCCACACACAUUGCUUUGGCCUCCAAAAAUCUGUACCAAGCAAACCUGGCUCUGGAUAUAAUCCUGUACUGAGCCACAUGUUCUCUUCUUUCUCUUUUCCUUGUCCUGCUACUUGGCUAUAAAUUAGCUCCUGAACUUUAGACGGAGUUGCUAACAGCAAAAAAGCAAGUUGCAACACUCAAAUGGGCUCCAUUUCCAGUUCUUUGCCCUAACUUGAUGAGAUGAGUGAUGCUGGGUCUUCAUUGUCAUGGUUUGAGUCUUUAUACCAAGGUGUGGCUCCUACGUCUGCCUAAACUUGCUCUGGGGAAGUCUAUAUUGCUACAACUUCAGUACCACCUCUGCAUUCUGGGUUUUUUUGCUUUAAAGGGAGUGGCGGACCAAGAACGGGGGGUGGGGGGGAGGAAGAAGAGGAGCAUACCAACAAAACAAGGAAAAGCAAAUAGCAUUAGGAAACAGCAGGCAGUAUUUUACAUUUCAUGGCUGAAAGCUAGAUAUAGAUCUGAAGCCCGAUUAUUGUGUCAUAUAUUAAAACGACAGCCUCUGCCAACCAUUUAUCACAUUCUUAUCACAUGUUUUUUCUUAAUUAUCCCAUAUGAUAAGCAUUUUGCAGACAAGUGUUAGAGGCAAAGGGUAUAUGACUAUAUAUCUCACGUUAUUUUUAUGUUGCUCUCUCAAGUGGCUUAAGUAUAUUCACGUUGGAUAUGAAUGAGAUCAUGUUUAAAUACAUGCCCUUGGGCAUAUCCUGUCUCCAGCAGGUAAGGGUAAGGAAAGCGAGUGAGAUCAGAUACUGUGGAACACAAGGAGUCAUCAUGCCAGUGAGUGCAAUACAGGGAUGGGUUUUUUGCCAUAGCAACAUUUCCAUGGUCUUGUAAACUUAGGAAACCCUGGAUCUUGCCUCCGGGACUCUAGCAGAAGGACCUGCAUGCCAGGAGAGGGAGUUGCUGCCCUACCUCUGCUGUGGUUCAGUGCUACCACUGCAGAUGGCCAAAGAGGAGUAUUGCACCUACCAGCUUAGAGUAGGUCAAGUAACACUGACUGCCGUUGACUCUGGUCUGACUCCCCUUUAUGAGCAUCUUUCCCCUUGGAUACAGACUAAAUUGGUCUUGGACUGCCCAUCCCAGUUUACCUACUUGCCUCCAGGCCACCAGCCCUGAUACAUAGGAAUAUUUGUUUGUGUGUUAGGGUACCUGAAUGUGCCUGGUUCAUUUGUGCGAUGGUUAUAAUGUAAUAGUCUUCUUCUGUGUGCAAACGUCACUGCAAUUGCAUUUGAUGAAAAUAAUUCAGUGUGUGUGACAGGUAACUGACAGAUUGAAGGGAACGUGACGGUUGUGUUGUGGUAUCUGUGAUGAAAAAAUAUGCUCCUGGAAAUACCAUAGGGAAACCAAUGUAUUUUUCAAGCUGUAUGAAAUAUUCUAAAACUCUUAAAUGAGCAUAGAAAGGCGUAUGUUUUCUCCAGUGCCACGCUGUUCUCCAGUGCCACUGGUGGCUGUUUUUAAUGUGGUUGAAGUCCUGCCAUGUGGUUUUUGUCCUGCUAAAUAUUCCCAAUCUAGACCACUACAUUUCAAAACUUCUACCUUCAGGUAAACCUUUCCACAUCAGUUUUUCUGUGGGCACUAGCACAAAGGGGCUUCCAUGGGCAGCAAAAAAAAGGAGUACCACUGGUGAGUAUGGUCACACAAAAAAACCCUUAGGUCUGUCUAUCUACAUAUUGAAAGUACUAUUUAGAAUCAUAGCUGUCAACUUACAGAUUUGAAAAUAAGGGACCAGCAGCCUUGAAAAUAAGGGACCUGCAGCCUCACCUGUUCCAGGCACUCCAGUCUUCCUGUCCUCCUGCAGGCUGGUCAAACUCAUGCUGGUAGCUUCGAGAACACUAUCCAACCAACUUUGUAACCAGAGGUUCAACUGAAUAGAAUCUGAAUCACAUGCACCACAAGGCCUAUGCAGCCUCAACUUAAGAUGGCUCCCCGGCCUGGCUUUGCACUGCAAAGUUUGCAGCAGCACGUGCAACAAAAUGGCGUCCAGCAUUCAAAAAACCCCUCAGCUUGCAUUAACUAGCCACACACAAGGCAUGCAAGCUCCACCUCCCAGUCGUUCUUAGACUUCUUAUUGGGUGAGCAACACAGCCAAGCAACACAGUUGGAGCCUCCCUCCUCCCUGGCCGGCAGGGAAGGAGAGGAGCUGCUUCCUUUGAAAUUUAAGGGACAUCAUUUAAGGGACAUUUAAGGGACAUCCAUCAAUAAGGGACAGCAGCGGGACAUGGCACUGGAAUAAGGGACUGUCCCUUCAAAUAAGGGACACUUGACAGCUAUGUUUAGAAUGUGUCCAAUACCCUUUUGCAGCUAGUCAGUGCAAGAGGAGAUUGAUAACAGUAGACAGACUAUCUUUUAGGCAUUUCAUCUGCCCCUGCCAAUCUUUUCAUUGAGGGAACCCUAGAGUUCCUAGAAACAACACUGGAUUAGGGUAACUACUUUGAGCUCAUCCAAGAAAAUAACAGUGAAAUCCUAUACAUGAAGACUCGGAUGUAAGACCCAUGGAGUUGUAUGGGGUAAGUGGGUAUAUGUUUUCAGCUUAAGUCACACACUGAGGCUCUCAUUUCAGUGUCAGCUUUAUACAAGUUUGGAACAUUCUGGAGAUGUUUAACAUCCAACGUUAACAAAAACCAACUUUCAUAUUUAUGUUUUAAGUCAUGCAGCUUGGUACUGAGGUUUUAAUCAACCAAGGUUUACCCAGUGUAGACCCUCUGAAAUUAACGGACCUAACCUGGUCAUGUUCAUUAAUUUCAAUGAUUCAUCUUUUGAGUAAAAUUUAGUUGAAUACCACCCACAGAUUCAAGAUGCAGUUUUUAAAUUCACAGGGGAUGAAUAUCCACUAUACGCAACUCUUAAAGUUGCUGUAUUUAUGCAUGUUUAAUACUUAAAUAUGCAUGCACAGAAGAGCAAUGUCUCCACAUUUU